GCCAACCGCCAAUAAAUUUCAAGAAGAAGAAGAAACCUGCCGUACUGUUGCAUUUACCGGCCAGACAUGGAGACAUGGAGGCGUUAAUCCGCUGUCAUCCUCCUUCUGCGGUUCUAAAUCUGAACUUUGUAACGACCUGACUUGUUUGCAGGAAGGCCUCAGGAUGAUGAUGAUGAUGAUGAAGAACUGGUAAGGCUCUUCUUCCUCCAUGCAGCUGCUGUGGUUCUGUCCUCUGCUGCUGCGCCACCUGCAGGCUGAAUAGUGUAAAUGUUUCUGCAUGAGGAGCUCCUUUCUGAUUGGCCGGCUGCUCUGGCAGCGGCUGAUAGGGUCUGGUUGACUUCCUGCUGAAACAUCAGACCUGAUCCAACGAUCUGGAUAAAUACAGUAUAAAUAAAGUUUCUAUGUAACUCUGAUGCAGUAGAUGUUUAUGGACAAGGCUGCAUUAAACUGAUAUUAUGUAUUUUAAUAUAAAACUAUAGAGAAGAAGAAUAAAUGGUGGGAAAUAAAAAGUAGCUGAAAUGAUGGAUUUUUAUAUUGAGAAACAUUUUUUCUCCUGUAUGUUUAUAAAUUUAAAUGUAUUCAUAUAUUUUCUAAGUUUGAAAUAAAGAAUCUGAACUGAAUGUUUAA
Molecule: long non-coding RNA, 627 nt
Organism: Xiphophorus couchianus (Monterrey platyfish)
Lineage: Eukaryota; Metazoa; Chordata; Actinopteri; Cyprinodontiformes; Poeciliidae
Exons: 2
Source: RefSeq, a predicted model, not a curated record